UUGGGACCAAUUCUUUUCUUGCUCCUGAUUGUUUUUUGGCUGCCAAAUUUGUUUGGCUUCAAGGUUCAAAAACUUUCACGAUCUCUCUCUUUCAAGGAAAAUCCAGAUUGAAAAUCAUCGUUCUGGUUCCAAGUAUGUCCCUUUUUUUCUCUUGGAAAAGAAUGAACUUUUCUUUGUGUUCUUUGAAAGUUCAAUUCCGUGGUUGUCUUUUUGGUUUUCUUCUUUCUUUCUUUUUUUUGUUUCAUUAAUAGCUGUGAUUAAAGCUCGAUUAAGGUUGUUGGCUUGAAAUGGCGUUAAGCUAUUCCAACACAUGAACUUUUUCUUUUUCUUUUUUUCAUGGUAAAAGGGGAUGUUGGGAAAUAUUUAUAGCUUGGGAUUUCAUGCUAAUGGAAACAUUGAUAUAUUUUCAGGUGUAUUUGGUUAGGAAGAAUAUCUGAUUUUGCUUGGUUCUGUUAGAACAAAGUCAGCAGCAACAAGUUAUUUGCUUAAGAACUAAAUGAAACCGAGAGCAAAAAUGAAAAGAACUUGAGCACAAGUACAAAACAUGGAUCAAAAUCAGCAGCAAUCUUUAUUGAUUGAUAAUGAAAAAAUAAAUACAAAGUUAACAAGUCAAAUGACCAUUACCUAAUGAUUCACCUACUCCCACUAAUAAUCAACUAAUACAAGUUAAAUUUUAAACCAAAGCAAGCUGAUGUAUCAGUCAUUACAUCCAUUACAUCAAAAAUCCUACUAACUUAGAUUACAAAUUACAAACAAACUAAAGUUGGUUACAUUGGAACAAAAAGAACAAAAUUAGUCCUAAGCUAGUUGCUGCAUUCGGUUCUGCUCCACUGCUGGUCUGCUUGCUGACUUGCUGGCCAUAUGUUGCAUUGCAGGCCAAUGCUUACCAGGUUCAUUUGAUUUCAACUGCUUUUUCUUUUCUUUUCCUACUAUUCUAAUUUGUGGGUAUGUUUAAAAUUUUCAAGCUUGUUUUAGCUAAAUUUAGAUGCUGGAACUUGGAAGAUCAGUCUUGAAAGCUUCACACUAGUUCAUAAAAAAAUUGUUCUUUUUUCAACUUAAUUAGCAUAUCCUCAAAUCUCAUGUUUGUAUGUUGUGGAUGAAUCAUAACUUAGGCAGAAACACCUUUCCUUCAAAGGAAAUCUAAAGUUGAAAUCCUUUUUUCUCAAUUAACUUUGUACUUUAUAUAUCUCCGUAUAUGUACUAGAAAAACAGUUCUUUUUCUAUUGAUCUUUAUUUUUCAAGUUAACUUUCUGUUUUGUUAGCUUUGAUGUUCUCUUUAUGGAUGUGAUUAUUUAUAGGAUUGUUAUUUGGUAAAUUAUUGCUGUGCAUAAACUUUAUAUCUAAUAUACUGGACAUUGUGAUGAUAGAAU
This 1370-nucleotide long non-coding RNA is filed under the name Gossypium barbadense (sea-island cotton). RNAcentral's name for it is "long non-coding RNA (GBAR_LNC006952)". The record is from RNAcentral. Lineage: Eukaryota; Viridiplantae; Streptophyta; Magnoliopsida; Malvales; Malvaceae.